RNAcentral lists this ribosomal RNA (253 nucleotides) under uncultured bacterium. RNAcentral's name for it is "partial 16S ribosomal RNA". It matches the Rfam family "Bacterial small subunit ribosomal RNA", at positions 524 to 776 of the family's 1533-position model. The record is from RNAcentral.
UACGUAGGCAGCAAGCGUUGUUCGGAGUUACUGGGCGUAAAGGGCUCGUAGGCGGCCAACUAAGUCAGACGUGAAAUCCCUCGGCUUAACCGGGGAACUGCGUCUGAUACUGGAUGGCUAGAGGUUGGGAGAGGGAUGCGGAAUUCCAGGUGUAGCGGUGAAAUGCGUAGAUAUCUGGAGGAACACCGGUGGCGAAGGCGGCAUCCUGGACCAAUUCUGACGCUGAGGAGCGAAAGCCAGGGGAGCAAACGGG